AGUGAACGCUGGCGGUAGGCCUAACACAUGCAAGUCGAACGGCAGCACAGUAAGAGCUUGCUCUUACGGGUGGCGAGUGGCGGACGGGUGAGGAAUACAUCGGAAUCUACUUUUUCGUGGGGGAUAACGUAGGGAAACUUACGCUAAUACCGCAUACGACUUACGGGUGAAAGCAGUGGAUCUUCGGACCUUGCGCGAUUGAAUGAGCCGAUGUCGGAUUAGCUAGUUGGCGGGGUAAAGGCCCACCAAGGCGACGAUCCGUAGCUGGUCUGAGAGGAUGAUCAGCCACACUGGAACUGAGACACGGUCCAGACGCCUACGGGAGGCAGCAGUGUGGAAUAUUAGACAAUGGGCGCAAGCCUGAACCAGCCAUACCGCAUGGGUGAAGAAGGCCUUCGGGUUGUAAAGACCUUUUGUUGGGAAAGAAAAGCAGCAGGUUAAUACCCCGCUGUUCUGACGGUACCCAAAGAAUAAGCACCGGCUAACGUCGUG
RNAcentral lists this ribosomal RNA (492 nucleotides) under uncultured bacterium. RNAcentral's name for it is "partial 16S ribosomal RNA". It matches the Rfam family "Bacterial small subunit ribosomal RNA", at positions 29 to 507 of the family's 1533-position model. The record is from RNAcentral.